UACGGACGGGGCAAGCGUUGUUCGGAAUCAUUGGGCGUAAAGGGCGCGUAGGUGGUUCUGUAUGUCUAUCGUGAAAGCGUACGGCUCAACCGUAUUUUGUCGGUAGAAACUGCAGGACUUGAGGCUGGGAGGGGCUGGUGGAAUUCCCUGUGUAGCGGUGAAAUGCGUAGAGAUGGGGGAGAACACUCGUGGCGAAGGCGGCCAGCUAGACCAGUUCUGACACUGAGGCGCGACAGCGUGGGGAGCAAACAGG
RNAcentral lists this ribosomal RNA (253 nucleotides) under uncultured bacterium. RNAcentral's name for it is "partial 16S ribosomal RNA". It matches the Rfam family "Bacterial small subunit ribosomal RNA", at positions 524 to 776 of the family's 1533-position model. The record is from RNAcentral.